RNAcentral lists this ribosomal RNA (637 nucleotides) under uncultured bacterium. RNAcentral's name for it is "bacterial SSU rRNA". It matches the Rfam family "Bacterial small subunit ribosomal RNA", at positions 607 to 1244 of the family's 1533-position model. The record is from RNAcentral.
GCUUAACCGGAGAAGUGCAUCGGAAACCGGGAGACUUGAGUGCAGAAGAGGACAGUGGAACUCCAUGUGUAGCGGUGAAAUGCGUAGAUAUAUGGAAGAACACCAGUGGCGAAGGCGGCUGUCUGGUCUGCAACUGACGCUGAGGCUCGAAAGCAUGGGUAGCGAACAGGAUUAGAUACCCUGGUAGUCCAUGCCGUAAACGAUGAGUGCUAAGUGUUGGAGGGUUUCCGCCCUUCAGUGCUGCAGCUAACGCAUUAAGCACUCCGCCUGGGGAGUACGACCGCAAGGUUGAAACUCAAAGGAAUUGACGGGGGCCCGCACAAGCGGUGGAGCAUGUGGUUUAAUUCGAUGCUACGCGAAGAACCUUACCAGGUCUUGACAUCUUCUGCCAACCUAAGAGAUUAGGCGUUCCCUUCGGGGACAGAAUGACAGGUGGUGCAUGGUUGUCGUCAGCUCGUGUCGUGAGAUGUUGGGUUAAGUCCCGCAACGAGCGCAACCCUUAUUGUUAGUUGCCAGCAUUUAGUUGGGCACUCUAGCAAGACUGCCGGUGACAAACCGGAGGAAGGUGGGGAUGACGUCAAAUCAUCAUGCCCCUUAUGACCUGCGCUACACACGUGCUACAAUGGACGGUACAACG